UCCUACGGGAGGCAGCAGUGGGGAAUAUUGGGCAAUGGGCGCAAGCCUGACCCAGCAACGCCGCGUGAAGGAAGAAGGCUUUCGGGUUGUAAACUUCUUUUAAGAGGGAAGAGCAGAAGACGGUACCUCUUGAAUAAGCCACGGCUAACUACGUGCCAGCAGCCGCGGUAAUACGUAGGUGGCAAGCGUUGUCCGGAAUUACUGGGUGUAAAGGGAGCGUAGGCGGGAAAGCAAGUUGAAUGUUUAAGGUACGGGCUCAACCUGUACAAGCGUUCAAAACUGUUUUUCUUGAGUGGAGUAGAGGU
Molecule: ribosomal RNA, 305 nt
Filed under: uncultured bacterium
Lineage: Bacteria
Description: bacterial SSU rRNA
Rfam family: Bacterial small subunit ribosomal RNA
Source: RNAcentral